GCGGAAGUGGCGGAAUGGUAGACGCCCUGGGUUUAGGUCCCAGUAUUCGAAAGAGUGUGGGGGUUCGAGUCCCCCCUUCCGCA
Molecule: transfer RNA, 83 nt
Filed under: Actinoplanes sp. ATCC 53533
Lineage: Bacteria; Bacillati; Actinomycetota; Actinomycetes; Micromonosporales; Micromonosporaceae
Rfam family: tRNA
About the family: Transfer RNA (tRNA) molecules are approximately 80 nucleotides in length. Their secondary structure includes four short double-helical elements and three loops (D, anti-codon, and T loops). Further hydrogen bonds mediate the characteristic L-shaped molecular structure. tRNAs have two regions of fundamental functional importance: the anti-codon, which is responsible for specific mRNA codon recognition, and the 3' end, to which the tRNAs corresponding amino acid is attached (by aminoacyl-tRNA synthetases). tRNAs cope with the degeneracy of the genetic code in two manners: having more than one tRNA (with a specific anti-codon) for a particular amino acid; and 'wobble' base-pairing, i.e. permitting non-standard base-pairing at the 3rd anti-codon position.
Source: Rfam by way of RNAcentral